AGUGAACGCUGGCGGUAGGCCUAACACAUGCAAGUCGAACGGCAGCACAGUAAGAGCUUGCUCUUACGGGUGGCGAGUGGCGGACGGGUGAGGAAUACAUCGUAAUCUACUUUUUCGUGGGGGAUAACGUUGGGAAACUUACGCUAAUACCGCAUACGACCUACGGGUGAAAGCAGGGGAUCUUCGGACCUUGCGCGAUUGAAUGAGCCGAUGUCGGAUUAGCUAGUUGGCGGGGUAAAGGCCCACCAAGGCGACGAUCCGUAGCUGGUCUGAGAGGAUGAUCAGCCACACUGGAACUGAGACACGGUCCAGACUCCUACGGGAGGCAGCAGUGGGGAAUAUUGGACAAUGGGCGCAAGCCUGAUCCAGCCAUACCGCGUGGGUGAAGAAGGCCUUCGGGUUGUAAAGCCCUUUUGUUGGGAAAGAAAAGCAGCAGGUUAAUACCCCGCUGUUCUGACGGUACCCAAAGAAUAAGCACCGGCUAACUUCGUG
Molecule: ribosomal RNA, 492 nt
Filed under: uncultured bacterium
Lineage: Bacteria
Description: partial 16S ribosomal RNA
Rfam family: Bacterial small subunit ribosomal RNA
Source: RNAcentral